GACGAACCGUGCGAACGUUAUUCGGAAUCAUUGGGCUUAAAGCGCGUGUAGGCGGGUUCGUGCGUCUGUCGCUGAAAUCCCCCGGCUCAACCGGGGAAGUGGCGUGGAUACGACGAGUCUGGAGGGGCAUAGGGGGACCUGGAACUUCCGGUGGAGCGGUGAAAUGCGUUGAGAUCGGAAGGAACGCCCGUGGCGAAAGCGAGGUCCUGGAUGCCUACUGACGCUGAGACGCGAAAGCCAGGGGAGCGAACGGG
Molecule: ribosomal RNA, 254 nt
Filed under: uncultured bacterium
Lineage: Bacteria
Also listed under: 1 other name
Description: partial 16S ribosomal RNA
Rfam family: Bacterial small subunit ribosomal RNA
Source: RNAcentral